RNAcentral lists this ribosomal RNA (803 nucleotides) under uncultured Nostocoides sp. RNAcentral's name for it is "bacterial SSU rRNA". It matches the Rfam family "Bacterial small subunit ribosomal RNA", at positions 60 to 870 of the family's 1533-position model. The record is from RNAcentral. Lineage: Bacteria; Bacillati; Actinomycetota; Actinomycetes; Micrococcales; Intrasporangiaceae.
AGUCGAACGGUGACCUCGAGAGCUUGCUCUUGGGUGAUCAGUGGCGAACGGGUGAGUAACACGUGAGUAACCUGCCCCAGACUCUGGAAUAACCCCGGGAAACCGGAGCUAAUACCGGAUACNAGACGGAGCCGCAUGGCUACCGUUUGGAAAGUUUUUCGGUCUGGGAUGGACUCGCGGCCUAUCAGCUAGUUGGUGAGGUAACGGCUCACCAAGGCGACGACGGGUAGCCGGCCUGAGAGGGCGACCGGCCACACUGGGACUGAGACACGGCCCAGACUCCUACGGGAGGCAGCAGUGGGGAAUAUUGCACAAUGGGCGAAAGCCUGAUGCAGCGACGCCGCGUGAGGGAUGAAGGCCUUCGGGUUGUAAACCUCUUUCAGCAGGGAAGAAGCGGAAGUGACGGUACCUGCAGAAGAAGCACCGGCUAACUACGUGCCAGCAGCCGCGGUAAUACGUAGGGUGCGAGCGUUGUCCGGAAUUAUUGGGCGUAAAGAGCUUGUAGGCGGUUUGUCGCGUCUGCCGUGAAAAUCCGAGGCUCAACCUCGGACUUGCGGUGGGUACGGGCAGACUAGAGUGUGGUAGGGGAGACUGGAAUUCCUGGUGUAGCGGUGAAAUGCGCAGAUAUCAGGAGGAACACCGAUGGCGAAGGCAGGUCUCUGGGCCACUACUGACGCUGAGAAGCGAAAGCGUGGGGAGCGAACAGGAUUAGAUACCCUGGUAGUCCACGCCGUAAACGUUGGGAACUAGGUGUGGGUCUCAUUCCACGAGAUCUGUGCCGCAGCUAACGCAUUAAGUUCCCC